AGGAAAGUAAGCUAAAAUUCAAGCUAAUAGGUUCAUACCCUAUCUAUAGAGAUUACCUCUCUUUUCUA
Molecule: transfer RNA, 68 nt
Filed under: Rhombodera valida
Lineage: Eukaryota; Metazoa; Arthropoda; Insecta; Mantodea; Mantidae
Description: tRNA-Met
Source: RNAcentral